RNAcentral lists this unclassified non-coding RNA (288 nucleotides) under plant metagenome. RNAcentral's name for it is "partial contains small subunit ribosomal RNA, internal transcribed spacer 1, and 5.8S ribosomal RNA". The stretch from base 1 to 53 matches the Rfam family "Eukaryotic small subunit ribosomal RNA", at positions 1778 to 1831 of the family's 1831-position model. The record is from RNAcentral.
GGAAGUAAAAGCGUAACAAGGUUUCCGUAGGUGAACCUGCGGAAGGAUCAUUAUCGUACAAAAUGUGAGGGGCAUGCGAGGGCUGUCGCUGACCCAAAAGUCGUGCACGCCCGAGUGUGUCCUCUUGCAUAAUAAUCCAUCUCACCCUUUGUGCAUCACCGCGUGGGCACCCUUCGGGAUCAUCUCGGAGGGGGGCUCGCGUUUUCACACAAACCCCCCUUUUAAAAGUGUAGAAUGACCACACUUAUGCAAUCAAUACAACUUUCAACAACGGAUCUCUUGGCUCUC